Molecule: long non-coding RNA, 660 nt
Organism: Malaclemys terrapin pileata
Lineage: Eukaryota; Metazoa; Chordata; Testudines; Emydidae
Exons: 2
Source: RefSeq, a predicted model, not a curated record
UCAGUGGGAGCCAGGGACUAUCAGAGGCUGCCAGAGCUGCUGGGUUCUGCAAUCAGUUCUUUCAAAAUAUAGAGGAUACAGGUGUGUCUGGGAUGUUUAUGAUGGAGGAAGAAGCAGGUCUGUUGGGAAAGUCAUGGGGAGGAAGGAAGACGGCGCAGGUGGGGUUAGGAGCUGGCAGUGCCUCAUCCAACAGGAGCAGAACCACAGGGCUCUUGUCUUGGAGGCACCAAGAAACGUGGAGGCUGCUGGGGCCUGAAGUGCUUCCUGGAAGCCAAUGGAGCAUAAAGGCCUAAAGAUUGUAGGGUGGCCCUUGAGUCCUUCCGGCUGUGAAGUCUUGAAGGGGAAGUCCUGGAUGGACUGUUGGACAUUGUGAGGAAGCCCCAAGAAUUGGAGCCAAGAACACCACCUCAUGGUGACAGCGGAGGCCAUUGUCCUGGCGGCCGAGUUGGCUGCAUCCAGAGCCACCUGGAGAGUGGUCCUGGCCACAUCUUACCCUCUUCCAAGAGGGCAGUGAACUCCUGCCUUGAAUUUUGGGGCAGAGAGAGUUUUUAAAUUUAGCCAGGGAGUACCAUGGAUUAUAAAUCGUAUCUCUCCAGCAAAACUCGCUGGUUAGAGAUACAUAGUUGAAGGCUACCCUUUGAAUAAACCUUUCUGAAAAAG